RNAcentral lists this ribosomal RNA (442 nucleotides) under uncultured bacterium. RNAcentral's name for it is "partial 16S ribosomal RNA". It matches the Rfam family "Bacterial small subunit ribosomal RNA", at positions 338 to 795 of the family's 1533-position model. The record is from RNAcentral.
CCUACGGGUGGCAGCAGUGGGGGAUAUUGGACAAUGGGGGGAACCCUGAUCCAGCGACGCCGCGUGAGUGAAGAAGUAUUUCGGUAUGUAAAGCUCUGUCAGCAGGGAAGAAAGCAAUGACGGUACCUGACCAAGAAGCCCCGGCUAACUACGUGCCAGCAGCCGCGUCAAUACGUAGGGGGCAAGCGUGAUCCGGAAUUACUGGGUGUAAAGGGAGCGUAGACGGCUGUGCAAGUCGGUGGUGAAAGGUGGGGGCCCAACCCCGGACAGCUCUGGAAACGGUAUGGCUGGAGUGCAGGAGAGGGAAGCGGAAUUCCUAGUGUAGCGGUGAAAUGCGUAGAUAUUAGGAGGAACACCAGUGGCGAAGGCGGCUUACUGGACUGUAACUGACGUUGAGGCUCGAAAGCGUGGGGAGCAAACAGGAUUAGAUACCCGAGUAGUC